UGGCUCAGUAACACGUGGAGAAUCUAACCUUUGGUGGAGGAUAAUCUCGGGAAACUGAGAAUAAUACUCCAUAAACAUAGGAUGCUGGAAUGCUUCUAUGUUGAAAGGCAACGCCAAAGGAUGACUCUGCGACCUAUCAGGCUGUAGUGAGUGUAAUGGACUCACUAACCUGCAACGGGUACGGGUGUUGGAAGACAUUGCCCGGAGAUGGACUCUGAGACAUGAGUCCAGGUUCUACGGAACGCAGCAGGCGCGAAAACUCCGCAAUGUACGAAAGUACGGCGGGGGAAUUCUGAGUGCUUACGCCUUGCGUAGGCUGUUUUCUUGUCUAAAAAACAAGGAGAGUAAGGGCUGGGUAAGACGGGUGCCAUCUCGUGCAAUUCUACACUUAUUGUGUUCGUUGCACGAAGCACAAGCCGCCGCGGUAAUACCCGCGGCCCGAGUGGUGCUCAUUAUUAUUGAGCCUAAAACGUCCGUAGCCGGUUUAAUAAAUUCUUGGGUAAAUCAUAUCGCUUAACGAUAUGAAUUCUGAGAACACUGCUAAACUCGGGAAUGGGAGAGGCCAGAGGUACUUUCAGGGUAGGGGUAAAAUCCCGUAAUCCUGAGAGGACCACCGGUGGCGAAGGCGUCUGGCUAGAACAUAUUCGACGGUAAGGGACGAAGCCCUGGGGCGCAAACGGGAUUAGAUACCCCGGUAGUCCAGGGUGUAAACGCUGUAGAUUUGGUGUUGGAAAUCCUACGGGGAUUCCCAGUGCCGGAGAGAAGUUGUUAAAUCUACUGCUUGGGGAGUACGGUCGCAAGACUGAAACUUAAAGGAAUUGGCGGGGGAGCACCGCAACGGGUGGAGCGUGCGGUUUAAUUGGAUUCAACGCCGAGAAACUCACCGGGGGCGACCAUUAUAUGAAGGCCAAGCCAAUGACUUUGC
RNAcentral lists this ribosomal RNA (925 nucleotides) under uncultured archaeon. Its description in RNAcentral is "bacterial SSU rRNA". It matches the Rfam family "Archaeal small subunit ribosomal RNA", at positions 86 to 971 of the family's 1478-position model. The record is from RNAcentral.